RNAcentral lists this ribosomal RNA (372 nucleotides) under uncultured archaeon. RNAcentral's name for it is "bacterial SSU rRNA". It matches the Rfam family "Archaeal small subunit ribosomal RNA", at positions 506 to 897 of the family's 1478-position model. The record is from RNAcentral.
GGCUCUAAAGCAUCCGUAGCCGGUUGCAUAAGUUUUCGGUUAAAUCUAUGCGCUUAACGUAUAGACCGCCGAAAAUACUGUGCAGCUAGGGAGUGGGAGAGGUACCGGUACUCGAUAGGAAGGGGUAAAAUCCUUUGAUUAUUGAAGACCACCUGUGCGAAGGCGGUGUACCAGACACGUUCGACGGUGAGGGAUGAAAGCUGGGGGAGCAAACCGGAUUAGAUACCCGGGUAGUCCCAGCUGUAACGAUGCAGAUCGGUGAUGCAUUGGCUUGUGGCCAAUGCAGUGCCGCAGGGAAGCCGUUAAGUCUGCCGCUGGGAAGUAUAUGCAAGUAUGACUAAAGGAUUGCGGGCACCACAGGGGUGAAGCUCG